RNAcentral lists this ribosomal RNA (442 nucleotides) under uncultured bacterium. RNAcentral's name for it is "partial 16S ribosomal RNA". It matches the Rfam family "Bacterial small subunit ribosomal RNA", at positions 338 to 795 of the family's 1533-position model. The record is from RNAcentral.
CCUACGGGAGGCAGCAGUAGGGAAUCUUUCACAAUGGGCGAAAGCCUGAUGGAGCAACGCCGCGUGCAGGAUGAAGGCCUUCGGGUUGUAAACUGCUUUUAUAAGCGAGUAAUAUGAUGGUAACUUAUGAAUAAGGAUCGGCUAACUACGUGCCAGCAGCCGCGGUCAUACGUAGGAUCCGAGCAUUAUCCGGAGUGACUGGGUGUAAAGAGUUGCGUAGGUGGCAUAAUAAGUAGCUAGUGAAAUCUGGUGGCUCAACCAUUCAGACUAUUAGCUAAACUGUUAAGCUCGAGACCGUUAGGGGUAACUGGAAUUUCUAGUGUAGGAGUGAAAUCCGUAGAUAUUAGAAGGAACACCAAUAGCGUAGGCAGGUUGCUGGGACGGUUCUGACACUAAGGCACGAAAGCGUAGGGAGCAAACGGGAUUAGAUACCCCAGUAGUC